Molecule: ribosomal RNA, 588 nt
Filed under: Sterigmatomyces halophilus
Lineage: Eukaryota; Fungi; Basidiomycota; Agaricostilbomycetes; Agaricostilbales; Agaricostilbaceae
Description: eukaryotic LSU rRNA
Rfam family: Eukaryotic large subunit ribosomal RNA
Source: RNAcentral
UGAGCGGGAAGAGCUCAACAUUGUAAUCUGGCUGCUUCGCAGUCCGAGUUGUAGUCUAUAGAAGCAUGAUCCGCGCCGGCCCUUGGGCAUGUCUGUUGGAACGCAGUGUCAAAGAGGGUGAAAAUCCCGUACAUACCAAGGACGACCGUGUGCAUUGUGGUCUGCUCUCUAAGAGUCGAGUUGUUUGGGAAUGCAGCUCUAAUUGGGUGGUAAAUUCCAUCUAAAGCUAAAUAUCGACGAGAGACCGAUAGCGAACAAGUACAGUAAUGGAAAGAUGAAAAGUAGCCUGCAGAGGCAAUGAAACAAUACGUGAAACCGUUUGUAGGGAAGCGAUGGAACCUUUUCACGCUGCGAGGGUUCAGCUUGGCUUCGGCUUAGUGUAUUCCCUCGUUUUGCGGACCAGCAUCAGUUUGCUUCGCAGUAUAAGGGUGAUUGGAACGUGGCUUCUCCGGAAGUGUUAUAGCCUUUCACUGGAUGCUGUGUCGCAGACUGAGGACUGCAGUGCGCCGUAAGGCAUGGUCUUCGGGCCACGAGCACUUAGGAUGCUGGGCGAAUGGGUUUCAACGACCCGUCUUGAACCACGGACCA